Molecule: ribosomal RNA, 396 nt
Filed under: uncultured bacterium
Lineage: Bacteria
Description: partial 16S ribosomal RNA
Rfam family: Bacterial small subunit ribosomal RNA
Source: RNAcentral
AUACGUAGGGGGCGAGCGUUGUCCGGAAUGAUUGGGCGUAAAGGGCGCGUAGGCGGCCCGGUAAGUCUGGAGUGAAAGUCCUGUUUUUAAGAUGGGAAUUGCUUUGGAUACUGUCGGGCUUGAGUGCAGGAGAGGUAAGUGGAAUUCCCAGUGUAGCGGUGAAAUGCGUAGAGAUUGGGAGGAACACCAGUGGCGAAGGCGACUUACUGGACUGUAACUGACGCUGAGGCGCGAAAGUGUGGGGAGCAAACAGGAUAGAUACCCUGGUAGUCCACACUGUAAACGAUGAAUGCUAGGUGUAGGGGGUAUCGACCCCUUCUGUGCCGCAGUCAACACAAUAAGCAUUCCGCCUGGGGAGUACGGCCGCAAGGUUGAAACUCAAAUGAAUUGACGGGG